CACAGGAGUCCAUCUGGAAGACAGAAACCGUCCAGCUGAGGCUGAUGAUGACUUCAGGUUGGUGGGAGGAAGCUCUGGCUGUUCAGGUGGAGUGGAGCUGAAACACCUCGGAGAAUGGAGACCAGUGGACGACGAUUACUGGAACAUGAAGUUAUCAACUGCAGUCUGUGAACGUCUGCGCUGUGGCUCUGCUAUUUCAUUGAAAGCAACAUCUGAGUCAUCAUUCAGAACUGUAUGGAGGGUUGAAUAUGAAUGUUCCAAGUCUCCAUCAGAUUUGAAGAACUGCUUCAGGUCCUCUUAUGCUUCCUCUUUCAUUAUUCUCACGUGUUCAGACUCGGUGCGGCUGCUGAAUGGAUCCAGUCGCUGUUCAGGCAGACUGCAGGUGAAGACU
Salarias fasciatus (jewelled blenny) is the source of this 391-nucleotide long non-coding RNA. RefSeq lists it as uncharacterized. The transcript is spliced from 3 exons. The record is from RefSeq and is a predicted model, not a curated record. NCBI's taxonomy places the organism in Eukaryota, Metazoa, Chordata, Actinopteri, Blenniiformes, Blenniidae.